GACGGGGGGGGCAAGUGUUCUUCGGAAUUACUGGGCGUAAAGGGCGCGUAGGCGGUUUGCUAAGUCGGAUGUGAAAACUCUGGGCUCAACCCAGAGCCUGCAUCCGAAACUGGCAGGCUAGAGUUCUGGAGGGGGUAGCGGAAUUCCUGGUGUAGCGGUGAAAUGCGUAGAUAUCAGGAGGAACACCGGUGGCGAAGGCGGCUACCUGGACAGAAACUGACGCUGAGGCGCGAAAGCUAGGGGAGCAAACAGG
RNAcentral lists this ribosomal RNA (253 nucleotides) under uncultured bacterium. RNAcentral describes it as "partial 16S ribosomal RNA". It matches the Rfam family "Bacterial small subunit ribosomal RNA", at positions 524 to 776 of the family's 1533-position model. The record is from RNAcentral.